RNAcentral lists this ribosomal RNA (864 nucleotides) under bacterium enrichment culture clone 080214-ABM-MX80 9-88. RNAcentral describes it as "bacterial SSU rRNA". It matches the Rfam family "Bacterial small subunit ribosomal RNA", at positions 9 to 873 of the family's 1533-position model. The record is from RNAcentral.
AGAGUUUGAUCCUGGCUCAGGACGAACGCUGGCGGCGUGCUUAACACAUGCAAGUCGAACGGGGUUUAGUCGAAAGAUUACUUUUAACUAAACCUAGUGGCGGACGGGUGAGUAACGCGUGGAUAACCUGCCCACUAGACUGGGAUAACGCCGGGAAACCGGUGCUAAUACCGGAUACGUUCACCGGAUUGCAUAAUCUGGUGAAGAAAGGUGCAAACCGCUAAUGGAUGGGUCCGCGUCCCAUUAGCUAGUUGGUAGGGUAACGGCCUACCAAGGCCACGAUGGGUAGCCGGCCUGAGAGGGCGACCGGCCACACUGGAACUGAGACACGGUCCAGACUCCUACGGGAGGCAGCAGUGGGGAAUCUUCCGCAAUGGGCGCAAGCCUGACGGAGCAACGCCGCGUGAGUGACGAAGGUCUUCGGAUUGUAAAACUCUGUCCAUAGGGAAGAACUAACUGACGGUACCUUUGGAGGAAGCCCCGGCUAACUACGUGCCAGCAGCCGCGGUAACACGUAGGGGGCGAGCGUUGUCCGGAAUUACUGGGCGUAAAGGGCGUGUAGGCGGCCAAGUAAGUCAGUCGUGAAACCCAGCGGCUUAACCGCUGGCUUGCGAUAGAAACUGCCUGGCUUGAGUGCAGUAGAGGGGAGUGGAAUUCCCAGUGUAGCGGUGAAAUGCGUAGAUAUUGGGAGGAACACCAGUGGCGAAAGCGGCUCCCUGGCCUGCAACUGACGCUGAGGCGCGAAAGCGUGGGUAGCAAACAGGAUUAGAUACCCUGGUAGUCCACGCCGUAAACGAUGGGUGCUAGGUGUUGGGGGUAUCGACCCCCCCAGUGCCGCAGUUAACGCAUUAAGCACCCCGCCUG